Molecule: RNA transcript, 2833 nt
Organism: Oncorhynchus nerka (sockeye salmon)
Lineage: Eukaryota; Metazoa; Chordata; Actinopteri; Salmoniformes; Salmonidae
Gene: irx6a
Gene name: iroquois homeobox 6a
Exons: 7
Source: RefSeq, a predicted model, not a curated record
CAACUGUACCAGAACAACCCCUUUCCUUUAUACUCUUAUCAGUGAAGCAAGUGAAGAAGACCACUGCACAAAGCCGAGGCGACACGGGGAGCACAGAACACCUUAAGAAAACGCGAUGUUAGAUGUGAUUGGCAAAGACAUUAUUCUAUCCUUGCUGUCCUGUCGUUCCGGGAUUACAAUGACGUCACACUGAUACCCUUGCAUGGGUGAAUGCUAAAGAACUAUAGAGGCACAAAUAAUAGCACAAGCAGAGUCCAUAUCUUGCAAGUCUUACGUUAUCCUUUAAGCCUUCUUCAGCUAAUACAACAACCAUUUUUUGUACUUAAUGACGCGUAAUUUCAUUUUCUUAUCAUUUCCUUCGGGGGAUUAUUCAUAUAUAAAACUAUCUGCAGCUGUUGGUACCAGCCUCAACUCUCCCUCCUAAGUGCAAUCAUCUAUUAUUGAGCGAGAGGCCGUGCGUGGAAAUGUGUGGAAGAAGGUGGAUUUGAAGUAGAAUUGGUUACAAUCGAUCAAGGGUGAAGAAUAUUCCUGAUGUUAACAAAAGAAGCAGCUAUGUCUUUCUCUCAGUUUGGAUAUCCUUAUAAUGCAACUUCACAGUUUUUCGUGUCGGCAAACCCCAGUACGACUUGCUGCGAUUCGAUUUCCAGGUCGGUCUCUGACGGGACGAGCGGUACCCAGACUCCUGCUACCUUCUGCUGCCCUUCCUACGAGAACCGGCUCCUGGCCAGCACACGGACGGAGCUCAACGCGGCACUAGGGAUGUAUAGCUCGCCCUACGCUGCCGCGGCCGCCGCCAGCCAGAACUAUGCCAGCUACUUCCCCUACAGCGCCGAGCCCUCCGCUGCUAUCUACUCAUCUCUGAAUCCACAGUAUGAAAUGAAGGAUGGCACAGGCACUCUGCAUUCUGGCAUAACUCAACCUGCCACCUACUAUCCUUAUGACCACUCACUGGGCCAGUACCAAUAUGACAGGUAUGGGACUAUGGAUUUUAAUGGAUCAGCCAGGAGGAAGAAUGCCACACGUGAGACCACCAGUACCCUGAAGACAUGGCUGUACGAGCACAGGAAAAACCCCUACCCCACCAAGGGCGAGAAGAUCAUGCUGGCCAUCAUCACCAAAAUGACCCUCACCCAAGUUUCCACCUGGUUCGCCAACGCCAGGAGGAGGCUAAAGAAGGAGAACAAGAUGACCUGGUCACCAAAGAAUAAGGCUGGGGACGACAGGAAGGACGACCUGGAUAAAAGUGGCCAAGACUGUGUCACCAAAGAUUCCAGUGAGUGUAAAGAUGAGAAAGACCUUCAUCUGAGUGACCUGGAGGACAUGGAGGACGAGGACUGUGACAAGCUGGACAGUGACCGUGAGAAGAUGGCACCCAGGGGCCCUGAGGAACAGCAGGACCUCCACAGGGCCAUGUCCAGUGGUGGUGUUGGCUCUGGAGGCCUUCCAAAGAGAGACUGCAGCUCAGAGCUCUCCCUCUCCUUGUCCAACAGCUUCCACCACUCAUUCCCAUGUGGUAUCAAGAGCCUACCCUCCCUGCCCUCUCUACCCACCAUGCCCUCGGACUUCCUUGAUCCACUGGUGACGUCCAAGCCCCCCUCCACCACCACCACCAUCCCCACGGGCACUCACACUGUGUCCCUGUCACACUUUGAGGUGUCGGACCGGGACAAACCGAGGAUCUGGUCUCUGGCGCGUACAGCGGCCACGGGGGUCAUCCUGGGCUCUGCUCACCACGGGGCCCCAGAGCUCCGGACAGGGAGCAUGCUGGGAGACUGCCAUCUACAGGGGACCAGGCUACCAGUGACUGGUACCAGACAGUGUGGGCCCCUCAGGGGCCUCCAGGAUCCUACUAACAUAUCCAAUGCUGAGAACCCUUUCCAAGAGGGCCCCUUGUUGCAAUCUAAGGUCUAUAGUGCAGGCAGCUACAACCAGAAGGCCCUCCAACUGCACUGUUCCUCCUAUCCUGCUCUUUCAGACUCUUGCCAGUACUCCACUAUUGAAGGUAGGAUUCUCCAGUGGGAAGGCAGAGACAGAGCCCUCGGAACUCAGUGACACAUGUGUGACCCUGCAGGAUGACAAGGUCACUGCCUUCAGACCUGUUAUGAAGAGGUGAGGAAGGUUGAUGGACACGCAGUCGUUACACAGUGGGACUUGUAUUUAGCCGGUCUUAGGCUAUGCACUAUAAAGACUUGGGAUGACGACGAGCACCGGACAUCCUACCUACCUUACACCUGGGAACUGCGGCCCUCCGCAGUCAAAGCUCGAUGAGCCCUGUCCAAACUGUGGAAGCUGCCAUCAUUUUGCACAACGUUGUUUUUAUGGUGUUGACGAUGACUUUAUGCAAGACUUUGAAAUGCAACGGUAUGGGAACUGACGGUCAAUUCAUGAUGUAUGCAAAGGGCAAUCGUAGUGUAGCAAUGUUAUUUAUUUAUUUGUGUAUUUAUUAUUUGAUUCUCAUCUGUUCAUGUAUUUAUUUCGUAUGUGUCAAUUAAAUAUUUUGUUACAUGUAUUGUAUUGUUUCAACUGUGGUUGUGUGCUAUUUUAUACCUGAUUUAAGGGAGAAAUACUUAGCUUGUUGUUGGUCUUUCUGUUCGCUAAAUGAGUGGGAUUUAUCGAGUUGUAAUCGGAAUUGUCUAUUGCGUGUGUCGACCUGGAGAAAUUGUUGAUUGUGUUGUGUUCCUCUCAAAGAUAAUUGUGAGCUUAUUCUGUUCUUGCCAUUCAUGAAAUAUUUUAUAAGAAUUAAUUUUUUCAGGAACACCUCGUUUUUGUGUAAAUAUUAUUUCCAGAACAUUAACAUUGGUUUAAUCGGCCAAUUAAAACCUUUGAGACUGUU